Long non-coding RNA from Gasterosteus aculeatus aculeatus (three-spined stickleback), 3105 nucleotides. The record is from Ensembl. NCBI's taxonomy places the organism in Eukaryota, Metazoa, Chordata, Actinopteri, Perciformes, Gasterosteidae.
CCAUCAUCAUUAUUUUAGAUAUUAAUCAUAUUACUGUACUCAUAAACCGACAUUACCCUCUCCUAAAAUCUCUGUGCUCUCCCUCCCCACAGGCUUCUGUGGAUGGUGGUUCUAUCUGAUGGUGGUUGCCCCUGCAGUGGUCCUGCUGUGCGCCUGGCUUACUACUCACAAUUACUUGAAUCAUUUCUGUCAUAGGAAUUGAAUGUAUUAUACAUUGUUCAUUCUGUACACAUGGCAUCCAUUGUAGUCUGUCCAUCCCGGGAGUGGGAUCCCUCCUCUGACGUUCUCCCUAAGAUUUCUUCCCUUUUUUUCCCUCUUGAAAGGGUUUUUUCAUUUUUUGGAGAGUUUUUACUGUGUCGAUGGUGGGUUUCGGGACAACGGAUGUUGUAUGUGUACAGAGUGUAAAGCCCUCUGCCCUCAAAUUUGUAAUUUGCGAUUUUGGGCUAUACAAAAUAAAAUGAAUUGAGUUUAAUUGAAAAUUGAAUUGAAUUAAAUUAACUACAAGGCUAAUUCACAGCAAUUGUCCAAACAGUAAGAAAAGUCCCAACGGGCCGGGGGAAGAGAGGCUGGAUGGGUCAAAUGAACAGAGCACCCGGGAGACAGUUGUUUGUGUCCCAUAUGAAACCAAGUUGAGCUCAACGGAUGUGUUACACAAGGUAACCAACAAUAUCUUCCUAAGCCUAACCAAGUACUUUUAUGGUCUAAGUAGACUACAAACCAACGUUGGAAGUAUAUUUAACAAAGUGGCUGGAUACCUUAAACAAGCAGUGUUCCUGUGAACUCGGAUAUUUCAUUCGAAAAGACACUUAAACGGCUUGAAAAAGGUUUUUUGAAAGUGUUUUUCAAAAUGUUGUGUAUUUGCAUCACCUGUACAAAUGAUACUCAUAGCCAGGUUUAAACCCAAUGUGUGUGUGUGCAUCCAGGCAGGUGCAUCUGCCUGAAGACGGUGUGCUCAUUCUUUGCAGGCACAGAAAAAGAGAAGUCUUAAUCUGGCUCGUCUGGUGAUGCAGCCAUGUGCCGCUUCUGGUGGAGUUGAACCGGAGCCGUAGACAUGUAGGAUCCACGUGACCUACAUGUACAGUCCAUGUGACCUACGACUCCCGGAGGAGCGUGUCGUGCAAGGGGUCUUUUCCCCGCGGUUUGAGGGGCCGUCCGUGUGACACAUAAAGCCAAGUGGUCACACGUCAAGCUGAUUGCACAUCGGAUGCGUGAAAAACUGCAGGAGAAGUUAGAAAAUGGCAAAUGUGUGUUGCGCGCUGCCCGCAGGCCCCGACACCUGCGCUUUCGGCUUGUCCUACCGAUGAACCAAACCGCUUCAAGAAAACCGGCGGGAUUUAUUGAUUGUAUAUCCAAACCGCUUCAGUGUCCCCUUUGUCAACAAAGCCCAGCCAGAGGGAUUUAGAGAAGCUUGUGUUUGAAGUGGGUUUGAUGAAUUAAAGCAGGCUGCUUGCUUUAGUAUCCUGUACUUUAUUUCACAGGUCUGUUGGGCACUUUACAGCCAGGCUAACUCCCCUGCCAAGCCAUUUCCCACGCGGGUUUAUCAUUUCUCAAUGUCAUUUUUAAUGAAUGUGAGACCACAUCAAGUCGUAUCCGUCUCAAAUCAUAAACCUCCGUAUUAAGUUGGAAUAGAUCGUUCAUGGUAGCAGGGCUUUGCUCCGCCUGUUAGCAGCUCUGUAAUUGUAAUAUAUUGGACAAUCCAUUUGAGUUAUAUACAUCAACCGUUGCCCAGUAACAGCUGGAUAUUUUUGUCCUUUGGAGAAGUAUAGUGAAUACAUACCGUUUUUUUCAAAUAUGAUCUCUGAUGAAUUUCUACCAUGACAUGUUUAUUUAAUAUAACAGUCUAUUUUGAAGGUGAAAGCUAAAAGCAACAAUGGGAGAAGGGAGAUUACAAUGAAUAACAACUCUAUAAUGUCGCAUGUCCUCUAUCUCUGGUUUCCCCUCCUCUCUCUAAUCUCAUUUCACAAGGGACAACGGCAAGGAGGAAGGAACUUUUCCCGCGCUAUCACACCAGAGACUACUCUUCCACAAGGAGGGAAAAUGAAGCAAAUAAAUAAAGAGAAAAUCGAAUUCCUUCAGCCGUUGCAGGAGUGUCCCCCAAUGAAUCAGCAGAAUAAAUUCCCUCCAGAGAUAAACAAACAUGAUAUUUUGUCUGGGAGGUACGGGACCAAAGGGCCGCUGUCGCUCUCGUAAAGUUUAGAGCGCUGCGGACCGUAAAAAAUAAAUAAAAGAGCCGCCUUCUCAAUCUGAAAAGCCUCUGGCAGGGAGGCCUUUGCAGCUGGAGCUAUGUGAUGAAAAAACACGGGGAACCUCUCACACACUUGCCCUCAAGCAGGACUUUAACACCACAGAUAUAUAGCCUCAUAUAGAAAGCCAUUAAAGUGGGAUUUUGAAGCACGUGUGUCUCCCCACACACUGUCAACACACUAAGUGCUCGUGGGGCAGAUUUACACGGCUGUGUGCUACACUUUACCUUGAUGCUGUGACGUAUAACAUUGGAGUGUAUCCUGAUUGGAGGGAAAAGUAAAUAACCUUGAGCAGAGAGCCUUUAAUUUAAGAUCUGUUUUUCUUUUUUCUACCUUGAUGAAUAUACAUAACCGUGACGCCACUUGCUGAUCAACCAUGAAAUAUCGGUGUCCACGUGGUGACGUGUGGUUUCUGUGUUGUGGCACAGAGACGAUAACAAGACAACAGUGACAACCGGAGUCAACAUCUAUGCUGUUGACUUUAAAAGGUCAAAGUCUUGUGCAUGUUCUCUUGCCUUUUUCGCACCUGCGGGCAGGGUCACGAGCUGCGGAUGUGAGAGAGCCACUCAUGUGAAGUGAGACUUGAAAAGGGAAAGCUGGAGGCUGUGCGGAAUAAGCAUUUUAGGUCUCCGUAGGGAGGAAACAAACAUGUCCAUCAAUGUGGCAUACCAAUAGAAAAAAGUCCAAAAAGGUUUUAAAAAAUUGAAAUUGGACCGGGGUUUGAACGUCUGAAACACACAGAAAAUGUAAACUAAUUUGUUAACCCCUAUUAUUAUUAUCUAUGUGUUUUCACAGAAAGGGAUGGACAUUUAGUUUUUUUAGCAGAAGAACGCUGAGUCAAACUCCUUAGCUAAAGUUUUUU